Non-coding RNA from Bacillus sp. VT-16-64, 147 nucleotides. NCBI's taxonomy places the organism in Bacteria, Bacillati, Bacillota, Bacilli, Caryophanales, Bacillaceae. The record is from Rfam.
GCCCAAAGUCGCACGUGCCCCAUGGGUGUCCGCCGAUCUUCAUUAUGGUGAAGAAACGGUAUGGUACCUGGAACUAACCCCUCCAGUCAGUUUGACGGCCUACUGCCAGACUGAGGACAUCUUGAAGCAACGACGGUGCGGGCCUUU